UCAUAGUUCAGUUUAGUGAGAUCUCGUUUGUUAGAGUUAGUGAAGCCAGAUAAGGAGAAGAUACUCUGGAGAUGUUGAACUCACUUCGUAGUACAGGCCUCAGGUUACUCAUGUAGUGUUUCAAAAGCAGGACGCUUUGCAAGUUUACGUCACACUGUAAGAAGUUGGACUAAAAACAAAUCUGAGAAAAAAAAAUUGAGAAUAAAGUCAUAAUAUUAUAAAGUAGUAAUUGUAUGUGUUAUUUUAGAGGGGAAGUAGAGCAGUGUUUCUGAAAAUGAGGAUGUAUCUUGUGAAUUUCAUAGGUAACCAAAUACUUCCUCUUUUGUCACAUCAGCACCACGUUAUCUGUCAGGCCCUCUGCCUCAUCCUAGCCAGCUGUGUGUGUGUGUGUGUGUGUGUGUGUGUGUGUGUGUGUGUGUGCGUGUGCGUGUGCGUGUGCGUGUGUGUGUGUGGAGUCAGGUGUGCAGGGGUUGUGCUGCAGCUGCAAACGGUCAUCAAUCUAUUCUACAACAAAUACAGGUCUUCACUUCACCAUGCUGCCAGAUCGUUGGCUCUGUUUCCACAAAGCACUCGGCCCACUUCCUGCCUCCGCUCCUGUUUAGCACACCUCUCUGGACUCAGCACACCUCUCUGGACUCAGCAUACAGCUCUGGACUCAGCACACCUCUCUGGACUCAGCAUACCUCUCUGGACUCAGCACACCUCUCUGGACUCAGCAUACAGCUCUGGAUCUCUGGAUCUCUGGACACAGCUCUCCUCCCCUCUCUGCCUGCAUACUCACCUGUCUUGCUCUACCCAGUUCUCGCCAUCAUAAAUGAAGUAUUGUAAAUAAAUGAUUUCAUUGCAUCUA
This is a long non-coding RNA of Sebastes umbrosus (honeycomb rockfish), 850 nucleotides long. RefSeq lists it as uncharacterized. The transcript is spliced from 2 exons. The record is from RefSeq and is a predicted model, not a curated record. NCBI's taxonomy places the organism in Eukaryota, Metazoa, Chordata, Actinopteri, Perciformes, Sebastidae.